Long non-coding RNA from Mauremys mutica (yellowpond turtle), 1408 nucleotides. RefSeq lists it as uncharacterized. NCBI's taxonomy places the organism in Eukaryota, Metazoa, Chordata, Testudines, Geoemydidae. The record is from RefSeq and is a predicted model, not a curated record. The transcript is spliced from 3 exons.
AGCAGAUGCCUCGCAACCCUGGGAAGUGUCAGUCUGCCAUCCACACAGCUUCACCUUGAGGUUUCAGUAGACUUGCCUGGAGAACAAGAAUUCCAUUUUAUGACACCUUUCAAGGUUCUGAAAUUCAUUUGUGUUACACAUUGGACAAGAAAUGAAACUGUUGAAACGUCCAUUCGUGGAUAAAAAAGGCCAAGUGUUUAUUUGAAUCUCGCUCUCUCCCCGUCUCCCCUUCAACUGGGGAGUUCACCCUGGACCCCAGAAACCUUACCAUGAAAAUCAAUACAUUCCCACUAAAUGUUUCAUCUUCAAUGAAACUGCAUUUUGACAAAAGAGAAAAGUGCAGGUUUCCUAUUGAACUGACCCUGGGGUAGGGGUGGGGGAUAAGAUAGUCAAAGAAGGGCACUCAGUUUGCUCAGGAUUGUUAACCUGUUUUAAAUGGAAGUUUGGUUCAUUAUUCUGAAAAGCGAGAGCACGGUAGACCCCUCCCUACCCCCGCCAGCUGUGACUUUUACUCUUCACACAACCUGCGUAAUAGGAAGGAACUACAUGGGCACAGUGGGGUCCAAGUAACAAUGUUUACUAACUAUUCACAACAUGCAAGGCUUAGCUAAGUAUAGAUAUAGAGAUAUAGAUACACACACACACGGGUGCUCAGACAGGGCUUCUGAAACAGAUGAUAGUGAGGGUCAAUAGGAUUUAUUAGCAUACAACUUAGCACGUAACCAUCUUUCCAAUAGAUCUUUCCUAAUCAUCUGCAGGUACAGUGAUCUGCUCCAAUAUGUCACCAUUCCUACAAACACAGUCCCACCCUCCAGAAAGCCAUAGCCCUGAUCCAAAGCUCAUUAAAUGGGAGCCUUUCCUAUAACUUCAGUGAGCUAUUCUUCAAGUCAUACAUGAAGAUCAUAACAAAGGAGGAAAUCUGAACCAAUGUGAACUGAUAAUUUCUUAUUUUAUUUGCAACCAAUUAGCAUUUCUGAAGUCAACAAUUUUCAAUGAGGAAACGAAGGACUUUACAGCAGAUUUGUGCAGGAGGGAGGAAAACCAGAGUACAACAGGAUGUGCACUUCUGGGUAUGACGAACAGUUGAAAGGUGCGAUCCCAAGUGAUUUGCACCACAUAAGCUACAGGAGCAGCUAUGAAGACAGAAGAGAUUGAAAAAAAAUAUGGCCACCCAGCACAUAAAAUCAAUGGCAACAGCAGAGUCCUUAGUGGACUUCAUGGAGUCUCUGGCUUGUCUUCCUUUCUGAGGGACAAAAGCCCUGCUUGGGACAUGGAACUACUUUGCAGAGUGGAAAUACAUACACCUCUACCUCGAUAUAAUGCUGUCCUCGGGAGCCAAAAAAUCUUACCAUAUUAUAGGUGAAACCACAUUAUAUCGAACUUGCUUUGAUCCUCCGGAGUGCACGGC